GAGCCGAACGUAGUGAGACCACGUUGCUUUAGCAACGGCCCGCAGGGCAAGCAUCGAAGAUGCGCAUAAUCCUCUCAUGCCGACCA
RNAcentral lists this small RNA (86 nucleotides) under Serratia marcescens. RNAcentral's name for it is "partial RtT sRNA". It matches the Rfam family "RtT RNA", at positions 45 to 130 of the family's 130-position model. Rfam says of the family: This family represents a bacterial cis-regulatory element known as RtT RNA. The exact function of RtT is unknown although it is thought that it may be involved in changing the cellular response in relation to amino acid starvation. The record is from RNAcentral. Lineage: Bacteria; Pseudomonadati; Pseudomonadota; Gammaproteobacteria; Enterobacterales; Yersiniaceae.